UGGUUUUUAAGCUUAAAAGGAGCGUCCUUGAAAUUCUCCUUGCAAUUGUUCGGGGAUCCGGAGCAGACUAUGUUCCAGGUCAGUGAGUGGCAGGUGUGCUUCAAGGCUUGAUUCGAUAAUACGUGAGUUGUCUGGAAGACAAUUUAAGAAGUCCUGGACGUUGCUUUAACUACAAGAAAAAAAAUAAAAGUUGUCACCAGGAACCUGUCAUUCUGGCCUCACUGAUUCCUGGGUUGGAUGUCGUCUACUGUCACUCAGAAAGAAGGCUCUCUGGGCUCAGCCUGCAGGGCGGGUCUGCAGCCCGGUGCAGCGGAGAGCACUUGGGGAGAACCGUCCAAUCCCGACUCAGCCAGCGAGGACAAGGGCGGCUUCCGUGAUCUGGCCGGGCCCUUUCCUUCUGAACCGCCCUUCUCGCUAUCUGGCUCUAGGCUUCUGUCUCCAGUCCUGGGGUCCCGCUGGCUUUGUCCUGCAGGUGCUGGAGAUCCCUGGUGGCCGCCUGACUCCCGAGCGCAAGGAAAUGGUGAGUGUGGCGGGGCCUCUUGAGCCCGGGGAGGGAGGUCGUUGGAACCGCGGGACUGGCUACGGUGGGGCCAGGAGCUGCUGGGGACUCCGGGGUCCGCGGCCUGAGCCCUCCUCCUGGCAGUGUCCCCUCAGGCCCCUGGCCAGCCAGGUGGGGAGCGUGUUGGCAGCAGAGCUCCUGCCCAGCCUGCUGCACCCGCUCAGCUAGCCCUAGAGAGUCAGCAGCCCGGUCUUCCCAGGUGGGUGGUGAUUGACAGGCGGGAUGGCGGUUGGAGAAGUCUCUCCACGUGGGAUUUUCCUGCAGGAGAGGAGCAGUGGCUCUGGGCUUCCCUGCCGCCGUCUUCCUAAGCUAGCUGGCUUUCUUGCUUUUUCUCCCUCCUUCCCAACCUUCCUUCCGCAGGGUGCUUUACCAGGAGCUCCAUCCCUGGUUCUGAUGUAGGGCGGAGGGGGCGGCACCUGAGGAAUUCGCGGGCAGCAGGUUUACUUAAAGUUGCAGCCGUCCAGAUGGAGCAACGCGGGGACCCUGGUAGGGAACUUCUCUGAGAUUUAUAGUCAGUGCGUGGUUACAGGGCAGCUACUUUUUUUUCCCCAUAAUUUUAGGAUAUAGAGAGGUUUCACAGGUUAUUAUUUUACCAAGGAAAACAAAAGUAAUAACAUGUACAGCAAGCUCUCUUGAGACAGAGUUUGUUACAUUUG
Molecule: long non-coding RNA, 1215 nt
Filed under: Marmota monax (woodchuck)
Lineage: Eukaryota; Metazoa; Chordata; Mammalia; Rodentia; Sciuridae
Source: RNAcentral